This 1641-nucleotide long non-coding RNA is filed under the name Brassica rapa (field mustard). RNAcentral describes it as "long non-coding RNA (BRAP_LNC005052)". Lineage: Eukaryota; Viridiplantae; Streptophyta; Magnoliopsida; Brassicales; Brassicaceae. The record is from RNAcentral.
AGGAUUUCUCUGGAUGGAUCAUUUGGGCCUGAAGCGUCUUCGUACUCUCUCAGAAUCUUCAAUAGAGUGGAGCAGCUCUUGCUGUCUGUUCGGAUGAAAAACAUGGUGUCAUCGACCAACAGUAAGUGAUUAAUUCGUGGACUGUUUGUUGCAACUUUAACACCAGGUAGAUUUCCAUUAUUUUGAGCCUCUAAGCAUAGACCUGAUAGCACUUUGCUGCACAGGAUGAAGAUAUAGGGAGAGAUAGGAUCUGUUAGGGGAUUUUUGUGUAGGCUCUUUGUGAAUACUACAGAACGAUGGAUAGGCUGGUAAACCGGGUGAAUUUGUAUGUGUUUCGUGAGGAUUUAAAGAGAAUGAUAAAGAAAUAGGCUUGAAGAGACGUAUUAUUGAUCAGGCAAACAAGAACAAGGGCGGUUACAAUGAUCUUUUAAUAAACCCUAGUUCUAGCUCUCUAAUUCUAGUCUCUAAGCCUUGGAGAAGUCGAUCCCUUGCGUUAGGGUUUUAGUAGCUCUUAUUGAAGGUCUUGUAGCCAUAUGGCUUGUUUAGCCGCUUCAGUGGCCGCCAUAAGUUCAGCCUCACAAGAUGAUAGUGCAACUAUCUCUUGUUUACAUGAACACCACGAUAUUGGACUUGUAUUGAGGUAAAAUACAUGUCAUGUAGUGCUCUUACCAUCAUCGCCAUCAACAUUGUGAGAGCUAUCACUCAACCCCCACCAGCUCUAAACUCGUUGCUUGCGUGAACAUGAGCCCAAGAGAUGUUGUUCCACGUAAAUAAUGCAAUACCUGCUAAGCAGCACCAUGAGAUUCAUUGGGGAUCUUGCAUAUAUCUACUUAACACCCCGACACUAAAACUCACAUCAGGUCGAGUGUGAACUAAAUCUCCCAGACAUCCCACACUUCUCCUAUACGCAUUCGCAUCUAUACUCUUUUCUUCGGCUGACUUUGAUAACUUAACGUUCGAAUCCAUGGGAGUGUGGGUUGGAUUGCACACACUCAUUCCAGUUUCUUCAAGUAUCUUCUCUGUAUACCGUUCUUGUUUCAACAUAAUACCAUCUCGAUGUUGAAGAACUUUGAUGCCCAGAUAAUAUGUAAGCUUGCCAAGAUCUCUCAUCUCGAACUUUGUUGCCAUCUCCUACUUAAACUUGAGUAUUAACUGCAACGAAGUCCCCGUGACCAGCACAUCGUCGACAUACACCACCACCAAGAGAAUUCCACCUUUUGCCUCUUUUCUAUAUAAAGGGGGAUCUUUAGAACACUUUUUAAACUUGAAUUCAAGGAGAAUCUUGUUUAACUUAGUGUUCCAAGCUUUGGGAGCUUGUUUUAAACCCGUAGAAAGCCUUCUUUAGUUUGUAAACCUUCCCUUCUUUGCCGGUGACUUCAAAACCUUCUGGUUGUUCCACAAACACUUCUUCUUUCAACUCUCCAUGCAAGAAUGCGAUUUUUACAUCCAGGGGAUGUACUCCCAUCCCUUUGAAGCUGCUAGUGCUAUAACCAAUCGAAUUGUCUCAAUACGUGCCACUAGUGCGAAGACUUCGUCAUAAUCAAUCUCAUGCCUUUGAACGUAACCCUUUGCCACCAAACGUGCUUUGUAUUUGCUGAUGCUUCCAUCCGCGUUUCUUUUAAUCUUAAACACCCACUUUAA